GAGAACUAAGAGCUUGCUCUUAGGGAAAGCGGCGCACGGGUGAGUAACGCGUGGAUAACGUACCCUAGGGUUGGGGAUAACCUGCCGAAAGGCGGGCUAAUACCGAAUACGUUCAUUAAAGGGUAGCCUUUGAUGAGUAAAGCAGGGUAACUUGCGCCCAAGGAUCGGUCCGCGUCCUAUCAGCUUGUUGGUGGGGUAAUGGCCUACCAAGGCAGAGACGGGUAACUGGUCUGAGAGGACGACCAGUCACACUGGGACUGAGACACGGCCCAGACUCCUACGGGAGGCAGCAGUGGGGAAUAUUGGUCAAUGGGCGAAAGCCUGAACCAGCAAUGCCGUGUGGGUGAUGAAGGCCUUCGGGUUGUAAAGCUCUGUCAGAAGGAAAGAAAAAACCGGUUAACACCCGGUCUUGACGGUACCUUCAAAGGAAGCACCGGCUAACUCUGUGCCAGCAGCCGCGGUAAUACAGAGGGUGCAAGCGUUGUUCGGAAUUACUGGGCGUAAAGCGCGUGUAGGCGGCUUGUUAAGUCGGACGUGAAAUCCCUUGGCUCAACCAAGGAACUGCGUCCGAUACUGAUUAGCUAGAGUAUCGGAG
Molecule: ribosomal RNA, 595 nt
Filed under: uncultured bacterium
Lineage: Bacteria
Description: bacterial SSU rRNA
Rfam family: Bacterial small subunit ribosomal RNA
Source: RNAcentral